RNAcentral lists this ribosomal RNA (412 nucleotides) under uncultured bacterium. RNAcentral describes it as "partial 16S ribosomal RNA". It matches the Rfam family "Bacterial small subunit ribosomal RNA", at positions 355 to 758 of the family's 1533-position model. The record is from RNAcentral.
UGGGGAAUCUUCCGCAAUGGACGAAAGUCUGACGGAGCAACGCCGCGUGUAUGACGAAGGCCUUCGGGUUGUAAAGUACUGUCUUUGGGGACGAACGGUAUCUAUGUAAAUAAUGCAGAUACAUGACGGUACCCAAGGAGGAAGCCCCGGCUAACUACGUGCCAGCAGCCGCGGUAAUACGUAGGGGGCGAGCGUUGUCCGGAAUCAUUGGGCGUAAAGGGCGCGUAGGCGGGUCAUUAAGUCUGGUGUGAAAGGGCAGGGGCUCAACCCCUGGAAGGCACCGGAACUGGUUAUCUUGAGGACAGGAGAGGAAAGCGGAAUUCCACGUGUAGCGGUGAAAUGCGUAGAUAUGUGGAGGAACACCAGUGGCGAAGGCGGCUUUCUGGACUGUAACUGACGCUGAGGCGCGAAA